CCCAUCCCAUCCCAUGGAUCCCAUCCCAUCCCAUCAUCUCAUCCCAUGGAUCCCAUUAUCCCAUGGAUCCCAUUAUCCCAUGGAUCCCAUCCCAUGGAUCCCAUCCCAUCCCAUCAUCUCAUCCCAUGGAUCCCAUUAUCCCAUGGAUCCCAUUAUCCCAUGGAUCCCAUCCUAUCCCAUCAUCUCAUCCCAUCCUAUCCCAUUAUCCCAUGGAUCCCAUUAUCCCAUUGAUCCCAUCCCAUCUCAUCCCAUGGAUCCCAUUAUCCCAUGGAUCCCAUUAUCCCAUGGAUCCCAUCCCAUCCCAUCAUCUCAUCCCAUCCUAUCCCAUUAUCUCAUGGAUCCCAUCCCAUGGAUCCCAUCCUAUCCCACGGAUCCCAUGGAUCUCAUGGAUCCCAUCCAUCCCAUCCCAUCCCAUCCCAUCCCAUCCCAUCCCAUCCCAUCCCAUCCCAUCCCAUCCCAUCCCAUCCCAUCCC
This 473-nucleotide long non-coding RNA is filed under the name Parus major (Great Tit). RNAcentral describes it as "lncRNA (ENSPMJG00000013305.1)". The record is from RNAcentral. Lineage: Eukaryota; Metazoa; Chordata; Aves; Passeriformes; Paridae.